GCGGGGCCUGGGCGCGGGGCGGGGCCUGGGCCCCGAGCGGGCGGCGGCGACCAGCAGGAGGAGAAAGAACAUGGCGGGUGCGGCGGGGCCCGGGGCCGGCCCGGCGGCAGCGGGCGGAGAUGGGGACGAUUCGCUAUACCCGAUCGCGGUUUUAAUCGACGAGCUCCGCAAUGAGGACGUGCAGCUCCGACUUAACAGUAUUAAGAAAUUAUCAACAAUUGCUCUAGCACUUGGAGUAGAAAGGACAAGAACUGAACUGCUGCCAUUCCUCACAGAUACAAUUUAUGAUGAAGAUGAGGUACUGUUAGCCCUUGCUGAGCAGCUGGGAAACUUUACUGGCCUGGUGGGAGGUCCUGACUUUGCCCACUGUCUGCUGCCUCCUUUGGAAAGUCUGGCAACUGUGGAAGAGACGGUUGUUCGAGACAGGGCAGUGGAGUCCCUGAGGCAGAUCUCCCAGGAGCACACGCCUGUCGCUCUGGAGGCUCACUUCGUCCCGCUGGUGAAGCGCCUGGCGAGCGGAGACUGGUUCACUUCUCGCACGUCUGCAUGUGGUUUAUUCAGCGUUUGUUAUCCCAGAGCCUCAAAUGCUGUCAAAGCAGAAAUUAGACAGCAUUUCCGUUCCUUGUGCUCAGAUGACACGCCAAUGGUGCGACGCGCUGCUGCUUCCAAGUUGGGUGAAUUUGCAAAAGUUUUGGAAUUAGACAGUGUGAAAAGUGAAAUUGUUCCACUCUUCACUAAUCUAGCUGCAGAUGAACAGGAUUCAGUGCGUCUUCUAGCUGUGGAAGCUUGUGUCAGUAUUGCCCAGUUACUGUCCCAGGAUGACCUCGAGGCCUUGGUGAUGCCUACGCUUCGGCAAGCAGCAGAAGAUAAAUCUUGGCGAGUUCGCUAUAUGGUAGCUGACAAAUUUUCUGAGCUCCAGAAAGCUGUGGGUCCUAAAAUCACCCUGAAUGACCUCAUCCCUGCCUUUCAGAACCUACUUAAAGACUGUGAAGCGGAAGUUCGAGCAGCUGCUGCCCACAAAGUAAAAGAACUUUGUGAGAACUUGCCCAUUGAAGGUAGAGAGACCAUAAUUAUGAAUCAAAUUCUGCCUUAUAUAAAGGAAUUAGUAUCGGAUACCAAUCAACAUGUCAAAUCAGCUCUAGCUUCUGUGAUUAUGGGACUAUCUACUAUUUUGGGCAAGGAGAAUACCAUUGAACAUCUUCUACCUCUUUUUUUAGCUCAGUUAAAGGAUGAGUGUCCUGAAGUGCGCUUGAAUAUCAUCUCUAAUUUGGAUUGUGUAAACGAAGUGAUUGGGAUCCGUCAGCUCUCUCAGAGCCUCCUUCCUGCCAUCGUGGAGCUGGCAGAAGAUGCCAAGUGGAGGGUCCGACUGGCCAUCAUUGAAUAUAUACCACUGCUGGCAGGCCAGCUGGGUGUGGAAUUCUUUGAUGAAAAGCUGAAUUCUUUAUGUAUGGCCUGGCUUGUGGACCAUGUAUAUGCCAUCAGAGAAGCUGCCACCAACAACCUCAUGAAACUAGUUGAGAAGUUUGGUACAGAGUGGGCCCAGAAUACCAUCGUUCCCAAAGUGUUAGUAAUGGCAAAUGAUCCUAAUUACUUGCAUAGAAUGACCACUUUAUUCUGCAUAAAUGCACUGUCUGAACCCUGUGGUCAGGAAAUAACCACUAAGCAAAUGCUGCCCAUUGUGUUAAAAAUGGCAGGAGACCAAGUAGCAAAUGUUCGUUUCAAUGUGGCCAAAUCCCUACAAAAAAUUGGGCCAAUUCUGGACACCAACUCUUUGCAGGGGGAAGUGAAGCCAGUACUACAGAAAUUAGGUCAGGAUGAGGACAUGGAUGUCAAAUACUUUGCACAGGAAGCUAUAAGUGGAAAUAAGAUUGGUGUGGUCGUUAUCCAGUCUUAACCUAGGCAGCAGUUCUGUGUGGAUUUGUCUGAUGGCCUCUCACGUCGCUGUUGUUUCUCAUCCUAAGAUACCAGUGCUUGGCCACGAUGAUGCAGGGCCCCUGGGGGUCUUUGUUGGAUAAUGUCGGACUUAACAGAGACUGCAGCCUGACCUUGGAACUCUCUCGUCAAAGCAUCUGAGUUGCCUGCAUAGUCCUCCAGGGAAAACAAAUAUUUCACUCCUGACCCAGUGGUUAAGCUCUGUUAAUGCUGUCUUGUUGCUGUUUUGUUCCUUUAUUAACCACUGUGUUGUCACUAAGCUAAAAGUCUGAUACUUUCCUGUAGGAAUCACACUGGUUCCAUCCCCCUUGGGAUGGCUUGGCAGGCCAGCCAUCAAAUUGGGCGCUUUGUCCUAGGUUCUUGCCUUUCACUUAAAUUCCUCUGAAUUUUCUUUAUUGUGACACUCUUAUCUUAAAGCCUUGUAUUUCUCGGCUGCCUGGAUAUAAAACUAUAGAGGGAGAACGGCCUGUCACCUCAUGUUCUUGCCGUCACAGAUGAGGUGAUUGCCGUCUGAUGUUAGGUAAUUGUUUCCCUUAGAUUCUCCAGUGUUCCUGUUUCCAUCCACUUCCUUGCUCCUCUUUCCUAAACCCUCACGUGUCUCUCAUCCUUUUCUGUACCUAGAAUAGUCCCACUAUCCCCUGUUUGCCUCCACAAGCCUGCUGUUUCCAGGAAAUUACAUAAUGUUCAGUUGAGAUGGAAAUCUUCUGGAGGAUGAAGAGAGUUUAAUUACUCAUUGCGUAGAAAAGCCAAGUCAUUCUUUCUCCAGAGUUGUUCUCUUAAGCUGAUAAUAUUACCUCUGGAAGGAUCUGGGUCUUUUCUGCCUGGUUGGGGCUCUGCAGCCUAUUAGUAACUGAGGUGUGGGGAAGCACCCAGCUGGGCGCUGUAAGGCCCAGUGGGGUGGCAUUUUGUAGGGCUCCCGAGGGAAAGAAAGCACCUUAGGCAAGGUCCUGAGUUGAACCAGCUUUUUCUGCCCAGGCGCCCUUGCCCUCAUAGGUUGCUGGGUUCCCAGUUCAGUCCUAGAAUAACUGAGGGCAUCCCAGCUAGGAGUGCAGGUGGGCCUGGGAAGGAUGUGCCCUGGACAGUUACAGCACUGCUGUCUGUAUCUCUAGUGGUGGCACAAAGGCCGAGGAAGCUAGAUUUUCCUGUGAAGGGCAGUGAAGUGCCCAGCACCUCUGAGGCUGAAAAGAACCACUUCCUGAGACUCAGAGUGCCUGGAGAGGACACUGGGAAGGUAAGUGCCUCAGAAGCCUGCGGGCAGCCAGCCUGGCCUGGUGCUCAGAGAGUUGUAGGGGGUAGGCAGAGUACAGAGUACAGCGGUACCUCGUACUCUGUCCCCAAGGGGAACAGUCCACGUUUUAAGGGUAAGGAGGGCUUGUUUUGAAAGCCAGUUACUGUCUUUUCCUCCUGCUUUAUGGGAAUGCUUUAUGAGGUGUGGGCUCACUGUCCAGAGCUGUCACUCUCGUGCCUUGAGGUCUGUCCUGUCUCCCAUUUAACCCCAGUCAGAAACGGCGAGGCCUGGGCAGCAGACAGUAGUGUGUUGGUAUAGUUUAUAGGCAGGAGCUGUUUCCACUUUCCUCAUAGAACACAGAAGGUGAUUUGGCAAGCUUCUUCUCGGGUAGUUACUUCCAUUCAAGAUAAAAAUAGGUUUUAUCUAUUCACUAUUUUAAUAGGUUCAAAAGGUUUUUCUGUGUCAUAGUUCAAAUGUUUUACAAGCCCCAUUUGAUGUCACUCUGCAUGGAGGUGUACAAAAGCUUCAGUUCAGCAGUCACAGUUGGUGUGGGCCACUGCCCCGGGCCAUUCAUCAGGGGCGAUUUGUGACUUACAGACAGAUUCGGAAAAGGAGCACAAAGAGGCUCCUUUUGGUCAGGCUGCGUUUGCUCUAUUGGGAAGAGUCUGGCACUGUCACACCCACUCCAGUGGGUUUGCUUGGUAAAAACUCUUAUGUCUAAACGUCUGCCUUUUAAAUUUCAUGGCUUUUCAUUUUAUGUGAACCGAGGCUGUAAGAACGGUCGGACAGCCCUGUCGUCCAGGCCCUGAACUGCAGUCACGCAUCUUAGCAUGUUCUCAGCUUCCUGCGGGCCUGCACACUCUUGCCCCUGGCUGAUCCUGCGGGGAAGGAAGCGCAGAUGACUGCACUGGCAGCCUCAGUAGGCCGAGGACCCUGACAGACAGAUUGCCGAGGUGGCCAGCCAUUGGGUCGUUAGACCCACUUUAUAGAACUCAGCCUUAGGGAAGAGAUCUUGGCUGAAAGAGCGGAGUGGCAGUUACAUUUUUUAGGUGUAAACCACAGACUUAAAGGGGAAGAAAGUUGUUUUCCUACAAAUUCAGGGCCAACUGCCCAUAGCGUGAAGUGCAUAGUACGCUCCUGAUGGAGCAUGGAACGUUGAGGCGGCCUCGCCAGGGCAGAAUUGCUCAGCUCAGAAGAAGGCCCCGGCCAGCCUUCCACAAGCUGAGGACAUGGUGUCAGCUGCUGUUCCUUGAGCUAUGGUAAAUGCAGAGCCUUGACAAGCACUUGAUCAAAUUUCAUUUAAUCCUUACAGCAACCCUCGGCAGGAGGUGCUGUCAUCUCUGUUUCUGAGGUGGUCGCGAAUCUCCCCCAACUAUAUAGUAUCUACCUCGGACGGUUCCAGGAAUGGAGGCCUGGUGGUGCUAGGCCUCUGAGGCUAGGCGUGCAGUCCAGAAAAAUCCCCUGCCCUGUGACUCAGGGAGCCUUCCCUGUGUUUGUUUCACUUAAGGAAAAUGACCCGAGGGUGAGAUGGAAAGGGAAUUGGCUGUUGCCAGGCAGAGCCCUUCAUGUCAGGGGCCAGCAGCCAAGUGAGUGAUCCAGGAAGUCAUCCAAUUGCAAACCAGAAAUUGUUCUUAACCCCUCACGGUCUGUUGUGCAGAGUAAACUCGCCAACCCGUCCAAACAGGGUGAGAGUGAAGGCCCAGCUGUUGAGAGGCCUGGGAACUGUCCCUAGUCCUCACCCUCAGGGCCCUCAGGGAGCCUUUUGACAUCCCAGGACUAAGCCUGCCACUUAGUCCCAGAGAAAAUAGCCCAAGGGGUGAGAAAGAGCUUCUCUUGGUGAAGGUGCCUCCUCGGCACCCUUGAGGUCUGCAGAGCACCUGUGUGCCGGAUGUUGCGUGCAUCCCCGCCACACAGGACCUGCCAGGUCCCUGCCGCCAUGUCCCCUCUCACUGGCUCCUGGAUGCUCUGCAGGUCACUCUGGCAGAGCUGCUGCCAGGCCUAUGUCAGGCAAGGGUUAACAGAGGAUUUGUUUAUUGAAUCACGAAGGAGCUGUCACAUGAUUUUAAUCAAAACACCAUUUCCCUGACAACAGUGAUGUCAGUCUUGUUAUUGCAGGAAGGAGCAGCUGUGAGGGACAUCCAGUCUCCAUGCUGAGCCCAGAUUUGGAGACGCAAAGCAAGUGAAGCAUCCAUAAAUACCAGAUGCAGACGCUGACCUACUGAGUCUGCCUCCUCCUCUGCCCUCCAGUCUGUCCGGCACACACGCUGACCAGAGGCACCCAGCACCCCAUGUGUCAGCCAAGGCCUCACCCGCAUCCCUUGUUCCUUCUACUCUUGUUUCUGCUUCUGAUUUCUCUUUUUUUAGGCAGGGUCUCACCUUUUUUGCCCAGGUUGGAGUGCAGUGGUAUAGUUCACUGCAGCCUCAAACUCCUGGGCUGCUGAUCCUCCUUCCUCAGCCUCCUAAGCAGCUGGGACUACGAGCGCACAGCUCUCCACCUGACUCUUGUUUUCCUUAUUUUCCCCAAACUCAGUCACCUGGGCCCCAAGGUCUCUGGCUGUGCCUUCUGACAUCUGUCUCUUCACCUGAAGCAGCUCUUCUGGUGAACGGCUCUUCUGGCCACCCCGGGGUGGGGUCAUUAUGCGGCUCAGGAGCUUUGGGUUGUACUGGAACCAGCUUCCAAGGGCAGGAAAGGGGCUGCUUGUCUGUGUCCCUCCCCUAGUACAGCAGGUUGGGGGGCUCAGGUGUUGCCCUGGGGGACAGAGCAACCUGAGGACUCCUAAAGGGCCUGAGCUCUUGGCUGAAAGAUUAGUUCUUUCAAACUCAGAAUGUCUACAGGAGGCCUGAGUCUGAUCCAAGGACUCAACAAAAACCAAAGCUGAGGGACACUUGAUCCCACCCCCAGUGGCCUCUAGCCAAGAGAAUUGGAUCCUGAAGCCAACCAACAGGUCAAAAGUUGGCAGGUCACAGGGUGCCCUGGGACGGUGUCCUCUCGCUCUGGCCUCCUUUCAGGGCCUUUGCCACUGUGGGGCUUAAUGGAACAGCUGUCCACAUGGAGACUUCAAGCCUUCCAACCCUUCUUCACCCAGGAGCUUGGCCUAUAAGUUGGAGAUGACAGAGGCCUCCUAGAUGGGCAAUAUUAGAUUCUUAGGCUGGGGCUACCCAGAACUCAAUUCUGAAAAUUUAGAAGUCCUGGCUUGGCGCCUGUAGCUCAGUGAGUGGGCACCAGCCACAUACCCCGAGGCUGGUGGGGUCAAGCCUAGCUUGCACCUGCUAAACAACGACAAAUGCAACCCCCCCCCCCCCAAAAAAAAAGUAGCCUGGCAUUGUGGCGGGCGCCUGUAGUCCCAGUUACUCAGGAGGCUGAGGCAAGACAAUCACUUGAACCCAAGAGUUUGAGUUUUCUGUGAGCUGUGAUGCCAUAGCACUCUGAAAAUUUAGAAAUCCUGGCUCAAAGUUCUCAACCUGGAGCAGGUACUCAGAACAGGGUAACCACCUUCCUCCUGUGAAGAGAGUGUUGACAGGCCCUGAGCAGCCAUGUUCUAGGUCUUGUGCUGGGACAGGCAGACGAGAUACUCUGACCAGCUGUAUGAGAGGACUAGGGGAGUCCUCUGGGUGCUUUCAUGACAGAGAGCAGGCCAUACCAGGCUGCAUUUGAACUUCAUGGUAAACCUGCAAGUUAAGACCUGGGUGCGGUGGCUCAAGUUCGUAGUCCCUGCUACUUCGGAGGCAGAGGCAGGAGGAUCCCUUGAGCCUAGGAGUUUGAAGCUGGCACAAGCAUCAUCUUGCUACCUCACUCCAUCUCACCCCUCACAACAGAGACCCUCUGUCUAAAACAAAACACAAGGCCUGGGAGUUAAGUCAGCCAGCCAGUGUUCCAAGUUCCUGUUAGUGAUAACAAGCCUUUACAAUGACUUGCCCAGGUUAGUGGCAGGGCUGGGAGUGGUGCCAGAGGCUGAGGACUUGGUCAGAAGUUCUUUGUUGCCUCCCGGAUGGACAAGGGGUAACACCCCCUCGGCCUGUGCUCCCAGCCUUGCUCCUUGCCUGGCCCUUUCAUCCCUGGGUUCCCUCCAACUGCCGGCCUGCCCUUUGGCCCUCACUUUGCUGGCAGGCCCCUGCUACACGUUUUGGCUUUUCUAGUGACCAGAAGGCAAUUCUAGUGGGUUCUAGACUGGAGAGACAGGGAGGCUGUGAACUCAGGGUCCUUUGCAGGGUGUGCUCGGAGGAAAGGACUUGGUGGAUUUUCCUCAGUUCAGUUGUGUCCCAUUGCCAACUGUGUGGGUGGCCCUGGGUGGUAAUGAUUCCUCAGGGUUAGAAUUCUCAGUCCUGCCUCCUCUUGGUCAUCUCAGGCUCCCUUAUCCCUUCUUUGGGGAGUGAGGAGGGAGACUGAGAGCUCUCUAAAACCACCUGAGGGAGUGACUCAGUUUCCUCUUUAGGAGGCUGAAUCCCUAAUGCCUUAUUUCCUCCAGGCCCAAAUUUUCUGAACUUCCUGCCUGGCCAGCUUUUGGGGUCUCAGCUCUGGGGAAUUCUACUUCCCACAGUCCGGUGUCCCCCCUCCUCCCUUCCUGGCCCUUGGUGGCUGAGCCCAGCACAUACUUUGCCUGGGCUUGGAGCCUGGUCUCUAUGCUGGACUGACAAGCUCUGAGUCAGUCCUCCCUAGGAAAGCCCCCUAGAAAUGUGUGCAAAGUGAGGCCUCAGCAGAAAGGCUUGUUAGAAAGCCAGGCAGCUGGACACACCCCAUGAGCUCCCCAUUCUGCCUGACCUCAAGUUUGUCCUCUGAUUUGUGGUCACAGCAUCAGACCUGGGUGGAGGCAGCUAUGCCAGUGAUGGCACCUGGUCUGAGGUGAGGGCCCAACACCUUCAACUCAGUCAAGACCCACAUGUGUCUCCAGGAUAAUCCGUGCACAAUGUUCCACCUCUUGAGAGCCACUCAGCCUUUGAAGUCACUGGCUAGGUCACAGGGAGAAGGGCACAGCUAUGUUCUCGUCAGCCUGCAGGCUGCAUUUCUUUUGUAGCCACAUGGCACCCAGGAGCUAGUGCACAAGGCCCAGAACUUCCUCCCAUAGUGCCCCUGGGUGUAGGCAGGGCGGGAGGCUCCUCUCACCUGGAUCCACCCAGGGUGGGAUUAGAAUCCCCUCAGUAGGACGGCAACUCUGAAAAGCGUGGAGGUGGAAUCGGGUCCUUAACCUUGGUCCACAGGUGGGCCUCCAGGGAUCCGGCAACCAACAACUCUCCUGAAAUUAUGUCCCAAACUGUGUGUGUAUCUGUGUAUUUGAGUUUUGGGACGAGAGCCCUGUGCUUCCGUCAGCAUGCCAGAGGGAUCUGUGAUCCUUCGAGAUCUGGUAUGGAAGUAACAGCAUAAGGCCCUAUUCCACUCACCUUGCAUGGUGAUGGAGGGCUGAGGAUGACUUGGGAUGUGGGGCAUUGCCAGCCAGCUCUGUCCCUGAGCCUGGCCAGGCAGAAGCCCUGGGUUUAAGGUGCAGGGCUCCGGCCCCUCUUUCCCACCGUGCAGAGCCUGUGCCUCACAGAGGCCACAGAGUUGAAGAGUGUCCUGGGGAGUCUGGAGACCGGGGGCUUGCCAGGCUGCUCUGGCCUGUGUGUUAUUUUUGCCCAUAUCCUGGGCACUGGGGUUAGUUUUGGCAACAUACAAUAAAAAGGAUGGAGAAAUUUGGUGGAAAGGGAAGUUUGCAAAACAUCAUUACUGAAUGCAGUGAGUGCUUUCCUUAAAAAAAAAAAAAAAUUGAAACUCGGUGAUCUGAAUUCUUGGUUAGCCAUAGGGUACACAAUUGACUUCAGGCAGGACUGAGUGUCCGUGGUUCAUGGGUGGCAGAAAGCUCUGCCUCCUGCAUCCUCGUCCCGCAGCCAGUAGCCCAUCCCUUGGGCUGGAAACGGUCUCUGUUCUACAGCAGGGACUGUCACAGCUGAGAGCCCGCUGCCAGGAAGCAGGAUCUGGCACUGCACCUGCACCCACAAUGCAGGGUGGCUCAGCAAAUGGACUCCCCAGCACCCUGAGGGCGUGGCGGGUCUGAAAGGGUGCCUGUGAAUGUGAGGGAGUUCACAGUGUGUGUGCACGCAGUGCUGAGGCCUAACGGACCCCCAGAAGAAAUAUGACACUGUGACUAAGUGGCAGCAUCUUUUGCCGGCCUUCCUGGCCGCACUGAGCCCUUCCCCACAGCUGGCCUGCAGCUUGCCUGUCCUCAGAGGCCAGACAAGAACUGGCCAGGCUACCCGGGCUGAAGGGCUUUGCCCUGAGACUCUGGAAAGCAAGUAGCAGCCAUUGGGCAGUGCCGAGUGGGCCUUGUCCCCAAGCAGGCUGUGGUUAGCAGGGCCGCUGUCAGUGAUCUGCAUAGCUAACGUGUACUUAGGCGACUCAGAGCAAGGUAUUAUUUACCCUGCUGACGUCAAUGAGAAUAUAUUAUCCACCGUCCUCUUCUGCAGCCCGAAAUGAGCACCAGAGCUCAGAGAACACAGUCCCUUCCCUACUUUUAAAAUCUCCCCAGGCCUGAUGAGGGAGAGGCGCUGUCGUGCUAGCCGGCCAGUCACAUUGCCCAGGCUCUUAGAAAACAAGUUGUUUUUAUUUUAAUUCAAGAGGGUUGGAAACAUAAAAACAGUACAUUUUCCUUGCCGAAAAUUACCCCAUUUAAAUUACCAUUUGGUACAAAGAUCAUUUAUUACACUGCAUUUUAGGCAAUUUUCUAACACUGAGUGACAGGUUACACUUUGAUUUUUUUCACAUUGGAGCUAUUAUGAUUAGCACUCAAAAUACCAAAGCUAUUGAACUCACCGAUUUUUUUCUUAGUAAUUUAAAGCACAGAAAAAAUAACUACAAUUAGAUUAACUUUGUCAAAAGUAACUCUUUCACAGACCAAACAUCCAGCAAAACCAUCUUCCUCCUCCCUUCAGAAAUAAGCAAAUAAUCUUGCCCUUUCCACAAAGUGCAAAUCUCUCUGUAUCUCUUUUAUUUAUUAAACUGCUGUCCCCGGAAUGAAGCAAACCUCCUGUUCUCUUUGCUUCUCUCUCCUAAGAGAUCUUGGUGAAGGCAGAUUUCUUGUCCCAUCCCUGGUGGGACAGUCUCACCACUUGAAUUUCCUUGACUGAGCAAAUCUUGGACAGACAAGCCUCACACAGCCAACAGUGAGUUCUAGUUAUCUGCAUUUGCUAAUGUAACAUUAUUCCAUUUGGGGUCAUAUUUUUCCAGGAUGUUGUUCUAAACUUCUAUUUUUAAAGCUUCCCCCUGCCUAUCCACUUUGGCUCUUAAAAGACAAAGUAUUUAAUAAAGUAUGUCAUUUUUUUAAUCCUAAAAAGCGUCUAACAAGCACUUUUACUUGGUGGGACUUGACUGCAAAGAAAGACUGACUGCCCCCCAGGACAAAGCUGAGCUUGUGCCUCUUCUCUGAGCACCCCCUUUUCCUGGGCUGAAUCUGGUGGCCUUCAGUAGUGGUCUAACCCCAUGCAAUUCAGUUCCUUAGCAAUUGAAGAGGGGUGUCUUUCCAUCACGUAAUUCUAUAGGAAAUUAUUUUGUGUAACUUGGAAAAACUAGACAUCUUUGCUGUGAGCCUAAACUUCUAUGGUUAACGAGAUACUGGAAGGAUGGCCAAUCUGUGGGGUCUUUGUCUUCCUCAGCCUUAUUCCAUGCAGGGCCACCUGGACCGCUGUAGUGUCACCUGAAGAGCAUCUCUCCCCCAAAGCUUGGCAGCUGUCAAGUGGAGAAUGAGGUUCUGGGAACACUGUCACAUUCACCCUGUGCCUGGCCAAAAUGGGGGCUUUGUUUAUACAGCUGUUUGCUUAUGAAAAGAGUCAGAUGCUACUGAGGAGGGAAAGAGGGCCUCUCACACCAGAAGCCAGUCACCACAAGUCCUUGUCCCGAGCUCCUCUCCUCACCAGCCCUGCGACUUGGAUAAGUCACACAAACUUCUGAAAGCUUUGGUUUUCUCAGCUGUGAAAAAUAAGGACAAUACCUCUCCAACAAACUUCAUAGAAUUGUUGUGAGGAUUCGAAGAGAUUACUUGUGAAAGUGCUUGGAAAGCUAACACAUAAAUAUAAGCUAUUGCUCCCUGUGACGGGCAGGCUGAGUGUUAGGCUAGGACCCCCUGGGACUCUCACGGGCUACGUCUGUGGGCCGUCCUGCUGCCUAUUUUCCCAUCUGUGCACUAGUAAGUGCCCCAGUCUGCCCAUUGGGUUGAAAUCUGCCCAGAGAAGGGGCACGCAAAAGAUGGUGGGGCGACCAGGAUGGUGGUUAAAGUCUUCCCGGAGCAGCCAGGCUGCUUAACUGGGAAAAAAUGGUAAAAUAUGAAUGUGAGAGGCCCCGGGAGAUCAGGACUACAGGGCCAAACAGGGCCUGGAGGUCACCCUGCUGCUGACAAGGGGCAGACAAAGAGCUCUGUAAUUACAGCCGCUUGCCUGGGCCACAGGCCAGGAACGAGCAAACUAUGGGACUGGUCAGAAGGGAUGUGUAAAUUUUUAAAGUGUUUUUUUUUUUGUCCUCCACACAUCACUCUUUAGGUUCUAUAAAAAUUUCCUAGAAGCAACAAACAAUCAAGAACCCUGCCUGUACUAUGACUCCAACUUCCUGCCUAUUCUCCAGUUUUCCCCUUUGAUGUCUAGGUACAGAGAGACUGAGUGGCGCAGGUGGCUCCCGAGGAGGCAGCAGAGAUAUCCCAGUGUAGGGUGCAGAUGCGGCCAGGUCAGCCCCAGCACAGGGAUUCAGCAGCCAUUCACUGGGGACCAAUGUUGGCAAUGACAUUAUCUCUCGGGGAGGUUGAAUGUGAAAAAGUUAUCUGGAAUAUGAUGUUUCUUUAAACCAAUAGAGAGCUUACGUGUAACUGUUGAUAGAGGUUUUAAAUGCAAUCCAGAGUAGAAAAACUCUGACCCCAAUAUAUCCAUCAACCUGGGGCUGGACUAGAGGCUGGAGGACCCACACAGAGGCGGCAGCCUCUGCGCCUGCGUCUCCCCAGAGGCUGCUCUGAGGCACACGCCGCUGGCACCCUUGACUGGCUAGGACUGGAAGCUGCUGCUGUUCAGCUUUGCUUGGUUUCUGGCUGAUCACUGACUCACUCUCUAGACGAGAAUAUGUCCUUUUCCCAAGCCUAACACCUGCACAGAAUCACAGAAUUCUUUCUUUUUUUUUUUUUUGAGACAGCUUCUCACCUGUGACCCUAGGUAGAGUGCUGUUGACGUCACAGCUCACAGCAACCUCAAACUCGGGCUUAAGCCAUCCUCUUGCCUCCACCUCACAAGUAGCUGGGACUACAGGUACCUGCCACAAUGCCCAGCUAGUUUUUUUAGACAUGAGAUCUAGCUCUGGCUCAGGCUGGUCUUGAACUCGUGAGCUCAGGCAAUCCAUCCACCUUGGCCUCCCAGAGUGCUAGAGAUUAUAGGUGUGAGCCACUGCAUCCGGCGACUCACAGAAUUCUUUCAAGCAUUUCUCUGCCUGUAGUAGGUAUGAAUGACAUCCAGUGUGUGGGCAGAAAGGUCAGCCAGUCCCCUGACAAGUCCCUCUGCUGGGGCCUUUAGUCCCUGCUGGAGGACAGGGUAGAGGGCAGGUAGAACUCCCACAGGGUGGCCUGGCCCUCCCUCCCCAUCAGAGCACAGGGCCCCUGACUGCUCGAGGGGCCAGAGUCAGGGAGGAGCGCAGGGUAAAGGCUGAGUUGGGCCCUAGGCUCCCGCCAUCUCACCUCACUGACUCUAAGCCACCGUUUAAACAACUGGGAGUUUCUUAAUUCUGAGGGAGAAAGGGCCAUGACUUUUUUAGAAGACAAAGUACAGAAAAGAAAAGGCUCUACUUGUAUCUGUACUAACAACCCUUGAGUCCCAUCUCUGCUCCUCCUGAUGGGCCAUGGUCCCUGCCCAUUGGGUUCUAGAGGCUGUUUGCAAAGACAACUGUCUGUCCCUCACCCUGUCCCCAAAGUGGUGAGGGGCAGUGCAGAGGAGCUCGGGGUGGCUGGGGACGGUCAGUGUAGCGCCCCGGGAGUGACCUGCAGGACCCCACUCCCUUCUGCUGUGUUACAUGCCCUGUUUGCCUUACAGGGACCAGCAUGUCAGUUGCAUGUAAAUACUAGAGACACACUUGCCUAACUGGAAACUGCAGAACUAGUGCAUUUUUCCCAAGGCAGAGACUAACACCUCUGGAUUAAAAAAGGAACAUACAAAAUAAAGAAAGUACCACACAUAUUGCACUUUUUUGCCAAAUGAAAUUUUUACCUCAGAUUCAUCUCACCAAAGUCUCUUCGACGAGCCUGGUUUACCAGAUAAUAAAGCUAACGAUCACCAAACAGUAGUGUACACACGCUAAUGUGGAACAGACCGCAAAGGGAGUCAGGAAUUCAAAGGAGCCUCUCACAGAAAGAGCGGUGCAAGCCUUCGUAGUGUUUCCCUAGCAUUUAUGGAGCAAAUGGAGGCUUCCACCGGUCACUGUUUAGGGACCAGAACAGCACAGAUCAGACACAGCUGCAGACACCCAACCGGCCACCAGAGCCAGUCUCCGCUCACCAGCUUACAUUUAAGUAAAUACAGAUGGUUAUGGAAUUUAUUGAUUUCUGCUUGAAAUAAAUGAGAUAAGCAAACAGGAGCUUGCCACAUGGGUUCCAGCAGGAGGGUCGUGCUCUUCACCAGGGAGUGUCCAGCGGCCUGGCUGCUGCUGUGCGGGCGCUUCCCAAUUUGUCUGCGUCCCUUAACCUUCCAGCCCGCAGCCUCUCUGCAGUCCCUCACAUGUCGGCCUAACUGUCCUGCCAUAGCUCUAGGUCUCUUGGGCUAAGCAGCUCACAGCCUCGUUGGGGGGUGGUGGUGGGGAGUUUAUGCCAAUCUGUUACUGUACCAUUCCUGCCGUUCUGAAAUGAAUGGCCCCCAUUUUCAAUCUGGAAGGCAUUUUAAUUUCAUAAAUAUUACAGCACUUCUGUAGUAUAUUUUGGGAAAACAUCCUCCUUCCAUCUAAACAAAUCAAGUCCUGUUUUUACAACUAGCUUAUUUUGCAAAGACUUAAAACAGAUUAGAGAUCUCAAUGAAACGAUCUCGUAAAUGAAAUGAUGUUCUCUAUUUCAUGAAACCAUCAAUCUUAAGCUCGGGGAGGAAAAAGCAACCCAUAGAAGGAACUUAAUUCAUUCUUCCUGGAUUUUCACUGCAUGUUAUUAAAUCACAGAAACAACAGUCCCUGCACUACCCUUUUUCCUGCUGACACCCAGAGUUCGACCCCGAGCACAGUGCCUCUGCAAAGUGUCCUGGCCCCACGCGGAGCCCCAGUGACCAGGCAGUCUCUGGACAGCAACAAGACUGCAAGUUACCAGUGCUGGCGGGGGUGGGGGAGGUGGCCAGAAGGGAACUCCCUAGAGUUUUCACGCUUGCCCUCACCUGUCUGGACACUUACGACAAAGAGGAAAGGCAACUUAAAGGUGUUUUCUAGACGCAGCGUCAGUGGAGUUUCUCUCUGCUUUGUGCUUAAUGCAGUCAUCUGCUGACAGGACAAACCACUCUAGAGGACAGAAAUUAUACCUUUAUAAAUAAUACUGAAUUUUUAACACCUGGAUGUUACUGUCCAAAUGACAGUUACUCAUUACUUCUAGGCUUAUAGGUAACUAGCUUUAGUAUCUAUUUCUGACUUACUCUGAUGAAUGAAUUGUAAGGGUUAGUUGAGUUUUACUAGGAAUAUAAUGUGUUUGGCAGACAAUCUGCUUAAACGGUUAACACAUCUGUGGUUCUUUGAAUAUUGCUGUUAUACUUGAACAUUUAAUUACAAGUCAAAAUGUAAGGAAAUUAAGAAUGCUGAUUCCCACAUGGUGGAAAACAAACUCUGAAGUGACUUUGGAUUUAGCAUUGACAUAAAUGGGAAACUGUUGGUUUCUACAGAAAAGAAAGAAUUAAAGCACGAUCUGGGGGAAAGGCACAGCACUACCACCUCACAUGGGACAUAAAAGUUCAUUUCUCGUGUCUUUAAAAUUUCUAAGCCCUAUAUGAAACUGUCCAAAUAUACAAAGCUCAAUAUACUACUAGCAACAUA
RNA transcript from Nycticebus coucang (slow loris), 15146 nucleotides. It is a transcript of the gene named protein phosphatase 2 scaffold subunit Abeta, with no coding region annotated. The record is from RefSeq and is a predicted model, not a curated record. Lineage: Eukaryota; Metazoa; Chordata; Mammalia; Primates; Lorisidae. The transcript is spliced from 16 exons.